RNAcentral lists this ribosomal RNA (775 nucleotides) under uncultured Neocallimastigales. RNAcentral describes it as "partial large subunit ribosomal RNA". It matches the Rfam family "Eukaryotic large subunit ribosomal RNA", at positions 24 to 648 of the family's 3401-position model. The record is from RNAcentral. Lineage: Eukaryota; Fungi; Neocallimastigomycota; Neocallimastigomycetes; Neocallimastigales.
UACGACUACAUAUCAGGCAUAUCAAUAAGCGGAGGAAAAGAAACUAACAAGGAUUCCCUUAGUAACGGCGAGUGAAGCGGGAAGAGCUCAAAUUUGAAAUCUUCAAGGUUCUACCUUGACGAAUUGUAGUUUAAAGAAGUGUUUUCUGUUAGAUGAGUAGCAAAAGUUCCUUGGAAUGGGACAUCAUAGAGGGUGAGAAUCCCGUAUUUGGUUAUUCAUUCUAGCUUUGUGAUACACUUUCAAAGAGUCGGAUUGUUUGGGAAUGCAGUCCAAAAUGGGUGGUAAAUUUCAUCUAAAGCUAAAUAUUGGCGAGAGACCGAUAACGAACAAGGUACCGUGAGGGAAAGAUGAAAAGAACUUUGAAAAGAGAGUUAAACAGUACGUGAAAUUGUCAAAAGGGAAGCGUUUGACACCAGUGUUGUUUUUCCGAAAAUCAAUUACGAAUGGCUUGAUUUUGUGUUGUAUUGACCUUAUCAGCUUUCUUCACUUUUUUCGAGUCUUUCUUAAUGCACUUUUCGGUUAACAAGUCAACAUCAAUUUCUUUUGUUGUAAAAGAGUAUUCGGAAGGUGGCUUUCUUUUCGGAGAAAGUGUUUAUAGCCCUAUACUUCUACAAUCGGAGAGAUUGAGGUCUGCAGCGUAGAUCCUUCGGGGUUAGAUACACUUUGUGCUAAGUUGUAGCUUUUCAUAGACAACUUGUUGACUAUGUUUAGUCAUGCGGCUUACUCGCUUGUGCUAUUUUACCUACGCUUAGGAUGUUGAGUAGCGACAUACGCA